Molecule: ribosomal RNA, 116 nt
Filed under: Pteropus alecto (black flying fox)
Lineage: Eukaryota; Metazoa; Chordata; Mammalia; Chiroptera; Pteropodidae
Also listed under: 1 other name
Source: RNAcentral
GUCUAUGGCCACGCCACCCUGAACAGGACCAAUGUCUGAUCUUGGAAACUAAGCAAGGUCGGGCCUGGUUAGUACUUGGAAGGGAGACCAUUAAGGAAGACCAGGUGCUGUAAGCA